GACGAACGCUGGCGGCGUGCUUAACACAUGCAAGUCGAACGGAAAGGCCCUGCUUGCAGGGUACUCGAGUGGCGAACGGGUGAGUAACACGUGGGUGAUCUGCCCUGCACUUCGGGAUAAGCCUGGGAAACUGGGUCUAAUACCGGAUAGGAGCCAUUUUUAGUGUGAUGGUUGGAAAGUUUUUUCGGUGUAGGAUGAGCUCGCGGCCUAUCAGCUUGUUGGUGGGGUAAUGGCCUACCAAGGCGGCGACGGGUAGCCGGCCUGAGAGGGGGGACGGCCACAUUGGGACUGAGAUACGGCCCAGACUCCUACGGGAGACAGCAGUGGGGAAUAUUGCACAAUGGGCGCAAGCCUGAUGCAGCGACGCCGCGUGGGGGAUGACGGCCUUCGGGUUGUAAACUCCUUUCGCUAGGGACGAAGCUUUGUGUGACGGUAUCUAGAUAAGAAGCACCGGCUAACUACGUG
RNAcentral lists this ribosomal RNA (465 nucleotides) under uncultured bacterium. RNAcentral describes it as "partial 16S ribosomal RNA". It matches the Rfam family "Bacterial small subunit ribosomal RNA", at positions 28 to 507 of the family's 1533-position model. The record is from RNAcentral.